GGAUUUGGAAUAUGAUCAUCAAAAACUGACUGAGAUAUACAAGAAAGUGAUACAGAAAAAUGAUGUAUUAAAAGAUAAGUCGGUGAUGUUGGAUAAUAGUGCAGAGGGAUUCAACAACAAUUAUAAUAAAAAAAAUAUUCAUUUCGAAGAUAUGUUUCAGCUAUCAGAGAUUUUCUUUCAGGAUAUGGAUCAGUUACGAGAAGAUAAAGA
This 210-nucleotide long non-coding RNA is filed under the name Elaeis guineensis (African oil palm). RNAcentral describes it as "long non-coding RNA (EGUI_LNC045154)". Lineage: Eukaryota; Viridiplantae; Streptophyta; Magnoliopsida; Arecales; Arecaceae. The record is from RNAcentral.